This 30-nucleotide transfer RNA is filed under the name Fragilariopsis kerguelensis. RNAcentral's name for it is "partial Selenocysteine transfer RNA". Lineage: Eukaryota; Bacillariophyta; Bacillariophyceae; Bacillariales; Bacillariaceae. The record is from RNAcentral.
GAGACGUCGGGGGUUCGAUUCCCCCAAUCU